Long non-coding RNA from Myodes glareolus (Bank vole), 457 nucleotides. RefSeq lists it as uncharacterized. The record is from RefSeq and is a predicted model, not a curated record. NCBI's taxonomy places the organism in Eukaryota, Metazoa, Chordata, Mammalia, Rodentia, Cricetidae.
ACAGAAGCUGCCAGAGAGGUAUUCACCCAGGUAGAGCAUGCUACACAGAAACAGCAAGUACAUUCUAUUAAUUAGGAUCAGCCUUAACGAGCAAGUAUUUACCUACUCACUCCUACAGCAGCGCUAUUGCAGAAUGGCCCAUUUAUGGCUACACCUUCCCAUUUCACCAGUUGAGCUUGUGUGGCCAUGGAAAUAGCACCUCUGGAAUUCAUCAAGGUUUGUGCAGAGGAGGCUUCUUUGAUUCUAGAAGACCAACAGGGCUAACCUCGACAGAAACUUAUCUGAAGUACAGAAAACCGGUUUCUCGGAUUUGGCUUCACAAAGAUAUCUUUGUAGGACAUCUCGCGUGAUGUGAUCUCUCAGCUUCCUGCUCUGACCACCAGGCCAGCUGCUUAUGGACCAGCUACCCUGCCAUGAUGACUUCUGAGCCCUCUUACCGUUGUAAGGCAAAAUAAAU